RNAcentral lists this ribosomal RNA (467 nucleotides) under uncultured bacterium. Its description in RNAcentral is "partial 16S ribosomal RNA". It matches the Rfam family "Bacterial small subunit ribosomal RNA", at positions 28 to 507 of the family's 1533-position model. The record is from RNAcentral.
GAUGAACGCUGGCGGCGUGCUUAACACAUGCAAGUCGAACGGAAAGGCUCCUGCUUGCAGGGGUACUCGAGUGGCGAACGGGUGAGUAACACGUGGGUGAUCUGCCCUGCACUUCGGGAUAAGCCUGGGAAACUGGGUCUAAUACCGGAUAGGUCCACAUUUUGGAUGGCGUGGUGGAGAGUUUUUCGGUGUGGGAUGAGCUCGCGGCCUAUCAUCUAGUUGGUGGGGUAAUGGCCUACCAUGGCGUCGACGGGUAGCCGGCCUGCGAGGGUGUACGGCCACAUUGGGACUGAGAUCCGGCCCAGACUCCUACGGGCGGCAGCAGUGGGGAAUAUUGCACAAUGGGCGCAAGGCGGAUGCAGCGACGACGCGUGGGGGAUGAAGGCCUUCGGGUUGUAAUCUCCUUUCGCUAGGGACGAAGCGUUUUUGUGACGGUACCCGGAGAAGAAGCACCGGCUAACUACGUG